RNAcentral lists this long non-coding RNA (879 nucleotides) under Sinocyclocheilus anshuiensis. RNAcentral's name for it is "lncRNA (ENSSANG00000036951.1)". The record is from RNAcentral. Lineage: Eukaryota; Metazoa; Chordata; Actinopteri; Cypriniformes; Cyprinidae.
ACUGGAUAUCAGGUUUGAUGUUUCUCCAUGCAUUUAAAUGAACAAAUAGAAGUAUAGGAAUACUAAUAGAACUAAAAAAGGAAUAAAUAUUUACAGAGCUCUGUCAACUCAUACAAGUUUUGAGACGUGGAUUUAGCUCUUGUGCAUUCAGUCUCCUCUGAAACUUGAGAAAUGAGUUUUAUGAUGUACAAACAGUAAAAUGUCAAGAAAACAAAAAGAAAUUACAGCAGAAAGUGCAACUGAAAAGACUGAAAUGCAGAGAAAAGAAACUGCACUGAGAAAUGAAGUCAAACUUGCACAGCAGGAAAAACCAACAAAGGGAGGAAAAGAAAAUGCCUGUGGAUCCAGAGAACAUCUAAAAGUGCACAAGCUGAACAGCAUUGAAAUAUUUCAACCAAAUUUUUCUCUUAAUCAAGAAAGCCCUGCGUGUCUUUCUGAUGCGACAGAAAAAUUCAAAGAUGAGAAAGCUGCAGUUGAUCUAACUGGCAGAAUGCUCUUCAAAUCACUUUCAGUCAAUGAUUCAGAAUGAGAUUGGAAUACAAAAUGUUUUUUGUUUGUUUUUUACCUGUAGAUUAUUUAUCUACUGUCAUAAAUGAGGUCAAGUGUCUUGUUCAAGUGCACAAUGAUCACUGUUUUUGAGCUGCUUGAACCAAAAGAUCACCAGAGAUUUUGUGUCUGUAUUAUUUUUACUGAAAGAUUCUUUGUGAAAGUGUUAGUGUCUAUACCUGAACAAGUGCCUAUGUUUUAGUCAUUCUGCCCAUGGUAGAAUUUAUUGCAAUACUUCAGUGUUUUUUGUUUUGUUUAUUGUUGAUGUUGGUUUUGCACUGCAGCAGUGCGCAAUAAACAUUAUACGACAAAUGUGUCCUAGCCUGUCACAAA